GAUGAACGCUGGCGGCGUGCCUAAUACAUGCAAGUCAAGCGAACGGACGAGAAGCUUGCUUCUCUGAUGUUAGCGGCGGACGGGUGAGUAACACGUGGAUAACCUACCUAUAAGACUGGGAUAACUUCGGGAAACCGUAGCUAAUACCGGAUAAUAUUUUGAACCGCAUGGUUCAAAAGUGAAAGACGGUCUUGCUGUCACUUAUAGAUGGAUCCGCGCUGCAUUAGCUAGUUGGUAAGGUAACGGCUUACCAAGGCAACGAUGCAUAGCCGACCUGAGAGGGUGAACGGCCACACUGGAACUGAGACACGGUCCAGACUCCUACGGGAGGCAGCAGUAGGGAAUCUUACGCAAUGGGCGAAAGCCUGACGGAGCAACGCCGCGUGAGUGAUGAAGGUCUUCGGAUCGUAAAACUCUGUUAUUAGGGAAGAACAUAUGUGUAAGUAACUGUGCACAUCUUGACGGUACCUAAUCAGAAAGCCACGGCUAACUACGUG
RNAcentral lists this ribosomal RNA (497 nucleotides) under uncultured bacterium. Its description in RNAcentral is "partial 16S ribosomal RNA". It matches the Rfam family "Bacterial small subunit ribosomal RNA", at positions 28 to 507 of the family's 1533-position model. The record is from RNAcentral.